This 514-nucleotide ribosomal RNA is filed under the name Brevibacterium sp. RNAcentral describes it as "bacterial SSU rRNA". It matches the Rfam family "Bacterial small subunit ribosomal RNA", at positions 145 to 644 of the family's 1533-position model. Lineage: Bacteria; Bacillati; Actinomycetota; Actinomycetes; Micrococcales; Brevibacteriaceae. The record is from RNAcentral.
AACUCCGGGAAACCGGGGCUAAUACCGGAUGCUUGUUUGAACCGCAUGGUUCAAACAUAAAAGGUGGCUUCGGCUACCACUUACAGAUGGACCCGCGGCGCAUUAGCUAGUUGGUGAGGUAACGGCUCACCAAGGCAACGAUGCGUAGCCGACCUGAGAGGGUGAUCGGCCACACUGGGACUGAGACACGGCCCAGACUCCUACGGGAGGCAGCAGUAGGGAAUCUUCCGCAAUGGACGAAAGUCUGACGGAGCAACGCCGCGUGAGUGAUGAAGGUUUUCGGAUCGUAAAGCUCUGUUGUUAGGGAAGAACAAGUACCGUUCGAAUAGGGCGGUACCUUGACGGUACCUAACCAGAAAGCCACGGCUAACUACGUGCCAGCAGCCGCGGUAAUACGUAGGUGGCAAGCGUUGUCCGGAAUUAUUGGGCGUAAAGGGCUCGCAGGCGGUUCCUUAAGUCUGAUGUGAAAGCCCCCGGCUCAACCGGGGAGGGUCAUUGGAAACUGGGGAACUUG